This 204-nucleotide non-coding RNA is filed under the name Ailuropoda melanoleuca (giant panda). Its description in RNAcentral is "Eukaryotic large subunit ribosomal RNA". It matches the Rfam family "Eukaryotic large subunit ribosomal RNA", at positions 2167 to 2334 of the family's 3401-position model. Lineage: Eukaryota; Metazoa; Chordata; Mammalia; Carnivora; Ursidae. The record is from Rfam by way of RNAcentral.
AGUCCACAGAAGUCAGAAAAUUGCCUGUGCUUUAAAAGGAGGUGAUGUUCUUGACUUGAUGUGAUUUCUGCCCAGUACUCUGAAUGUCAAAGUGAAGAAGUUCAAUGAAGUGCAGGUAAAUGGCAGGAGUAACUAUGACUUUCUUAAGGUAGUCAAAUGCCUGGUCAUCUAAUUAGUAAUGCACAUGAAUGGAUGAAGGAGAUU